This is a small nucleolar RNA of Impatiens glandulifera, 93 nucleotides long. The record is from RefSeq and is a predicted model, not a curated record. Lineage: Eukaryota; Viridiplantae; Streptophyta; Magnoliopsida; Ericales; Balsaminaceae.
AAAUUGCUAUGAUGAUAUAUCUUCAGCUUUAACGCCAGUUCUGCUUCAGAAAAUUCGUGAUUGAUAGAGCUGCAAAAUGUAACUGAGCUUUAU